AUUAUUACCGCGGCUGCUGGCUGCUGCCUCCCGUAGGAGUACUCCUACGGGAGGCAGCAGUAAGGAAUAUUGGUCAAUGGAGGCAACUCUGAACCAGCCAUGCCGCGUGCAGGAAGAAGGCCCUAUGGGUCGUAAACUGCUUUUGUACCAGAGAAAACCCGAGUACGUGUACUCGGUUGAUAGUAUGGUAAGAAUAAGCAUCGGCUAACUUCGUGCCAGCAGCCGCGGUAAUAAU
RNAcentral lists this ribosomal RNA (235 nucleotides) under uncultured bacterium. Its description in RNAcentral is "partial 16S ribosomal RNA". It matches the Rfam family "Bacterial small subunit ribosomal RNA", at positions 279 to 526 of the family's 1533-position model. The record is from RNAcentral.